UACGGAGGGGGCUAGCGUUGUUCGGAAUUACUGGGCGUAAAGCGUGCGCAGGCGGUUUUGUAAGCCAGGUGUGAAAUCCCCGGGCUCAACCUGGGAAUGGCAUUUGGGACUGCAAGGCUGGAGUGCGGCAGAGGAGACUGGAAUUCCUGGUGUAGCAGUGAAAUGCGUAGAUAUCAGGAGGAAUACCGAUGGCGAAGGCAGGUCUCUGGGCUGACACUGACGCUCAUGCACGAAAGCGUGGGGAGCAAACAGG
RNAcentral lists this ribosomal RNA (253 nucleotides) under uncultured bacterium. Its description in RNAcentral is "partial 16S ribosomal RNA". It matches the Rfam family "Bacterial small subunit ribosomal RNA", at positions 524 to 776 of the family's 1533-position model. The record is from RNAcentral.